Molecule: non-coding RNA, 136 nt
Filed under: human gut metagenome
Source: RNAcentral
GUGCUGAUGCUUAAUAGAGAAAUCGGUAGAAGCCGAUGCGGUCACGCCACUGUAAGAGGAGCGAAUCCAAUAGGUCACUGGGAAACUGGGAAGACGGAGGAGCGAGGAAUCUGAGCCAGGAGAACUGCCUUGCAGA